GACGAACGCUGGCGGCGUGCCUAAUACAUGCAAGUCGAGCGGACUGAUUAAGAGCUUGCUCUUAUGACGUUAGCGGCGGACGGGUGAGUAACACGUGGGCAACCUGCCCUGUAGAUCGGGAUAACACCGAGAAAUCGGUGCUAAUACCGGGUAAUAUCUGAGAUCACAUGAUCUUAGGUUAAAAGAUGGCUCCGGCUAUCACUACAGGCUGGGCCCGCGGCGCAUUAGCUAGUUGGUAAGGUAAUGGCUUACCAAGGCGACGAUGCGUAGCCGACCUGAGAGGGUGAUCGGCCACACUGGGACUGAGACACGGCCCAGACUCCUACGGGAGGCAGCAGUAGGGAAUCUUCCGCAAUGGACGAAAGUCUGACGGAGCAACGCCGCGUGAGUGAUGAAGGGUUUCGGCUCGUAGAGCUCUGUUGUUAGGGAAGAAACAGUACCGAACGAACUAGGUCGGUACCUUGACGGUACCUAACCAGAAAGCCACGGCUAACUACGUG
This 500-nucleotide ribosomal RNA is filed under the name uncultured bacterium. RNAcentral describes it as "partial 16S ribosomal RNA". It matches the Rfam family "Bacterial small subunit ribosomal RNA", at positions 28 to 507 of the family's 1533-position model. The record is from RNAcentral.